RNAcentral lists this ribosomal RNA (19 nucleotides) under Entrophospora claroidea. RNAcentral describes it as "partial 28S ribosomal RNA". Lineage: Eukaryota; Fungi; Glomeromycota; Glomeromycetes; Entrophosporales; Entrophosporaceae. The record is from RNAcentral.
UGACCUCAAAUCAGACAAG